GCCGGCGUGGCUCAAUGGUAGAGCAUCUCAUUCGUAAUGAGAGGGCUGCGGGUCCGAUUCCCGCCGCCGGCUCCA
This 75-nucleotide transfer RNA is filed under the name Clostridiales bacterium. Its description in RNAcentral is "tRNA-Thr". It matches the Rfam family "tRNA". Rfam says of the family: Transfer RNA (tRNA) molecules are approximately 80 nucleotides in length. Their secondary structure includes four short double-helical elements and three loops (D, anti-codon, and T loops). Lineage: Bacteria; Bacillati; Bacillota; Clostridia; Eubacteriales. The record is from RNAcentral.